UAGGGAAUAUUGCUUAAUGGGCGAAAGCCUGAAGCAGCAACGCCGCGUGUGCGAUGAAGGUCUUCGGAUUGUAAAGCACUUUUAGAGGGGAUGAGGAAGGACAGUACCCUCUGAAUAAGCCUCGGCUAACUACGUGUCAGCAGCCGCGGUAAAACGUAGGAGGCAAGCGUUAUCCGGAUUUACUGGGCGUAAAGCGCGUGUAGGCGGCACGAUAAGUUGGAUGUGAAAGCUCCCGGCUAAACUGGGAGAGGACGUUCAAUACUGUCGAGCUUGAGGAUGGGAGAGGGAGGUGGAAUUCCGGGUGUAGUGGUGAAAUGCGUAGAUAUCCGGAGGAACACCAGUGGCGAAGGCGGCCUCCUGGCCCAUUUCUGACGCUCAGACGCGAAAGCUAGGGUAGCAAACGG
Molecule: ribosomal RNA, 404 nt
Filed under: uncultured bacterium
Lineage: Bacteria
Description: bacterial SSU rRNA
Rfam family: Bacterial small subunit ribosomal RNA
Source: RNAcentral